GAUGAACGCUGGCGGCGUGCUUAACACAUGCAAGUCGAACGAAGAUGCCGGAGUGCUUGCACUUUGGCAGACUGAGUGGCGGACGGGUGAGUAACGCGUGGGUAACCUGCCUUAUACAGGGGGAUAACAGUUGGAAACGACUGCUAAUACCGCAUAAGCGCACGGUAUCGCAUGAUACAGUGUGAAAAACUCCGGUGGUAUAAGAUGGACCCGCGUCUGAUUAGCUUGUUGGUGAGGUAACGGCCCACCAAGGCGACGAUCAGUAGCCGGCCUGAGAGGGUGAACGGCCACAUUGGGACUGAGACACGGCCCAAACUCCUACGGGAGGCAGCAGUGGGGAAUAUUGCACAAUGGGGGAAACCCUGAUGCAGCGACGCCGCGUGAGUGAUGAAGUAUUUCGGAUGUAAAACUCUAUCAGCAGGGAAGAUAAUGACGGUACCUGACUAAGAAGCACCGGCUAAAUACGUGCCAGC
RNAcentral lists this ribosomal RNA (473 nucleotides) under uncultured bacterium. Its description in RNAcentral is "bacterial SSU rRNA". It matches the Rfam family "Bacterial small subunit ribosomal RNA", at positions 28 to 512 of the family's 1533-position model. The record is from RNAcentral.